AAAGAGAUGCAGUCUGAGCUCAGAUUAGAUUCAACUGCUCUGUUUAUUUGUCUUAGUGAAUGAUUUGUCUCUUCUUCUAGCAUGAUAAAUCCCAAGAAAGGAAAACACAACCUCCAAAAGCAGAGUGUACCUACCUGUGGAGUGGGAAUCACCUUAACUAACUUUAUCAGUUAUCUUCUCCAGGCUGUCUACGUUCCAUCUGCAGGCAAAGGAGAGAGGGAAGCAUUUCGAAAAGCUGAUUCAUCCCAUCCUGACUGUUUAAUGCAGGAUAACCACAAAAAGGGGUGCUGAGCAAAUGAUGUUUCUGAUCAGCAACAGGUAACACUGCCAGCCAUUGGAUCCUGCUGAAUAUCCACCCAGAGGAUCACCAGCAUCUUGGAAAUCUCAUGAUACUUCAAAGCACAGACUGGCAUCAUGUUGCAUGGUACCUAAAGGGUUCAAAUGGUUUGGAAGUUAAAUCACUUCCAUGGUUUCUGUGAUUUGCAUGUGAAAUUGAUUUUAUUGGAUUUAUUUGAUCAGGAAGCACAAGUGUUUCCCCAAGGAGUACAAAUAAACAUGUUACUAGAAACUGAGUAGAUGUGAUGAACCAUAAAUCUGGGAAGCGCUGGCUGAAUGUUAGCAAAUUUUAGAUACCUGCAGUUAUUUUUUAAGGUUUUAAUUUCCUGUAUCAGUUCAUGUUAGAGAAAAACACAACACUUUGAAAGGACAACUUGAAUGAAAUUCUGGUGGAUGCCAAACCCCAUCAUUUUCAGAAGUACAUUCCUGGCUUUGAAAGCUAUUAAUAUUUUGUACUUGAAACAUACAGACAUUGCUUCCUCUGACUGAUUAAUAAUUUUCUUUGAAAUGUUAACAUUUAUUAUUUAUCACUGAUCCCUAUUUAAAAGCCCAUUUUUCUCCUUCAGUUAUGACAGUGGAAAGCUCAAAUCUAUUACAGUGAAGCCUGCAGUCCUCAGCAGCUCUAAUUGCUUGGUUGUGGCCUGUGCCCCCCCUUGCCAUGCAAUGUCUUUAUACAGACAAAACGAGGCAGUACCAGCUGCUGAUGCACCUUCCAGGCCCUGUCAGGGGAUGUCACACCCCUUGAAGUGAGCUAGGUGAUCCUUGCCACGUCCCCUCCUCACCUCACACCUUCUGUGGUGUUUCUGGUGACUAUGUUAUCAGCUUAAAUGUCCUGAAAAUUAAACCUUUUUUCCCCCUUCUCAUUUCAUAGAACAAGUAGUGGGAACUUCAACUACACACUUAUUGUGGGUUCUCAUAAUGUCUGUGUGGCUUCAUCUUUUUUUAAAGCCCAUCAGCUCUCCUGGUGCUGCAAGGAGAGGCCAGCUCCAGAGGUCACUUUCAAGCAGACCUGGCUUUUAAUGGCAGAAAAAUAGGAGCGUCAUUCUUAUAAAAAGGAAUUAAUCUCACCUAAAUUUAGUUGGUAAAAAUUAGGUUUCUGGUCCCAUCCAGAUCCUUUUCUGGUCAGUGGAGAAGGACAUGCUCUUCCAGAGACUGAUUUAGUAAGACAAGCUCUGUUCUUGUUUCCUUGUCAAUAAAUUUUUUGAGAUAGGAGUAAUUUUUUUUAAUCAUAGCUGUCUACCAGUUCUAUGUGCAGGAUGAUAAACUGAUGACAACCACUAUAAAACAAAUUAAUCAGCCCAGUGUUAGUUCUUAGAUAUGAGUUUGUUAUAAGGAGGAGCCAAAGUUUCAGUGUUACACAAGUCCUUCAAUAAGAUGUGCAGAACUAAACCACAGGUAAUUAGAAUCUAAAUUAUCUCAUUGUCUAACAGUCAAGAUGAAAUACUUUCUUGUGAUUAGAUUCCCAGUUUAGGGGUGAAAUUGCUAUUAUUUGCAAGGUCCAAAAUCAAGGAAAAUGUAGCAAGCAAAGUAAAAAAUUCUACAAUAAAAAGUUGACACAGUUAUUUAAUGGAAAAAAUUUUGGUUUGGAAAACUAUCAUUAUUUGGGGUUUUUUUUCUAGUCACAUAAACAUUCAAAAAUUCAAGAAAAUAUUCUUGUUGGCCAGGAUGGAGAGUUCUCACAUAAGAAUUGGUGUUACUAUUUGUGGCUGUCACAGUGUUUAAUUGGUGUAUGUAAUUUCAGUUGCUUGGUAACAACAACUUAAGAAUUUCCACACCUCUGUGUAUUUAAAAUCUCAAUUGAAAAAUCAGAAAUCUCUUUAGAAAAGCAUCCAAAACAAAAAGAAGACAAGUAAAAGUGUUGAGCAUGGAAAUUUCACAAGUAUUUAGCAUUUUGUUCUAAUUUCCUGAAGCAAAAUUAAACACUGUAACUCCAUUAUUUUCCUAAAGGCUUUUUUUUGGUUUUUGGUGGUUUUUUGGGCAUGGAGCUCACAAAUAGAAAGCAAACUUCAUAACAAGAAAAUGGAAGCCUUGCCCCUAGUUCUAAAUUUGAUGGUUUCACCAAUUCCAGUGAAUUUGCUUGCCUUGGAGAGUCUUGACCUUCACCCAACAAGUUGAAAAGAACUCCUCACUCUUAUCAAUUAAAGGUAACUGUGGUUGCUCAGGCCUUGGGCCAUGGCAGGUAUAGAUACCAGGCUGUAAAUCACUAACUGUGGUCCACAUAUACCUGGAGUUAUUUCUGACUAAUUAUUGUUUUGAUCUAGAAGCACUCGCAGUUUUUUACUUUGCUAUUCUCCUUCAAAAUAUUCCUUCUAAUUUUCCUUUUCUAUGCCAUACGGCAUUUUUGAAGAGUUGACUGCUUGUCUGCUGGAAUUCCUUGUGAGGAACAGGGUCCAUGAUACUGCUUUUUCACACUCCUGUUAGUAUUUGCCUAAAGCCAUGUGCUCUUGCUCACCUUAAACCUAAUUUCUAAGUUUUUGAGGGUCUUUGCCACAUCCAUCACAAAAUGUUCUGGUCGCUGAAUAGAAUUUUGAGAAACCAUGGAUGUAAAUAAUAAAUGUCUUUUAUCUUUACAGAAAAUAA
Haemorhous mexicanus (house finch) is the source of this 2916-nucleotide long non-coding RNA. RefSeq lists it as uncharacterized. The transcript has 2 exons. The record is from RefSeq and is a predicted model, not a curated record. Lineage: Eukaryota; Metazoa; Chordata; Aves; Passeriformes; Fringillidae.